CCUACGGGUGGCAGCAGUGAGGAAUAUUGGUCAAUGGACGAGAGUCUGAACCAGCCAAGUGGCGUGAAGGAUGACUGCCCUAUGGGUUGUAAACUUCUUUUAUAUGGGAAUAAAAUGUUCCACGUGUGGGAUUUUGUAUGUACCAUAUGAAUAAGGAUCGGCUAACUCCGUGCCAGCAGCCGCGGUAAUACGGAGGAUCCGAGCUUUAUCCGGAUUUAUUGGGUUUAAAGGGAGCGUAGGUGGAUUGUUAAGUCAGUUGUGAAAGUUUGCGGCUCAACCGUAAAAUUGCAGUUGAAACUGGCAGUCUUGAGUACAGUAGAGGUGGGCGGAAUGCGUGGUGUAGCGGUGAAAUGCUUAGAUAUCACGAAGAACUCCGAUUGCGAAGGCAGUUCACUGGACUGCAACUGACACUGAGGCUCGAAAGUGUGGGUAUCAAACAGGAUUAGAUACCCCGGUAGUC
This 460-nucleotide ribosomal RNA is filed under the name uncultured bacterium. RNAcentral's name for it is "partial 16S ribosomal RNA". It matches the Rfam family "Bacterial small subunit ribosomal RNA", at positions 338 to 795 of the family's 1533-position model. The record is from RNAcentral.